CCUACGGGGGGCAGCAGUGAGGAAUAUUGGUCAAUGGGCGCGAGCCUGAACCAGCCAAGUAGCGUGAAGGAUGACUGCCCUACGGGUUGUAAACUUCUUUUAUAAAGGAAUAAAGUGAGGCACGUGUGCCUUUUUGUAUGUACUUUAUGAAUAAGGAUCGGCUAACUCCGUGCCAGCAGCCGCGGUAAUACGGAGGAUGCGAGCGUUAUCCGGAUUUAUUGGGUUUAAAGGGUGCGUAGGCGGAAUAUCAAGUCAGCGGUAAAAAUUCGGGGCUCAACCCCGUCGUGCCGUUGAAACUGAUGUUCUUGAGUGGGCGAGAAGUAUGCGGAAUGCGUGGUGUAGCGGUGAAAUGCAUAGAUAUCACGCAGAACUCCGAUUGCGAAGGCAGCAUACCGGCGCCCAACUGACGCUGAAGCACGAAAGCGUGGGUAUCGAACAGGAUUAGAUACCCGAGUAGUC
RNAcentral lists this ribosomal RNA (459 nucleotides) under uncultured bacterium. RNAcentral's name for it is "partial 16S ribosomal RNA". It matches the Rfam family "Bacterial small subunit ribosomal RNA", at positions 338 to 795 of the family's 1533-position model. The record is from RNAcentral.